RNAcentral lists this long non-coding RNA (548 nucleotides) under Pan troglodytes (chimpanzee). RNAcentral's name for it is "lincRNA". The record is from RNAcentral. Lineage: Eukaryota; Metazoa; Chordata; Mammalia; Primates; Hominidae.
CACAGUCCACAUACAGGGUUCUUAACCUGCGUUUUUACCUACAUUUUAGACUGACCCUGCUUGUGCCUGUGAACCAACCAACAAUCUCUGGCUGCAGCUCAGAAAGGACAAAAGAGAAUGGAUGAGGGAAACUUCCCAGGGCUUGUCUGGGUAUGCCCACAGUGGACUGGAGCCCAACCUGCACACUGGAGGAAGUGGGUGGAGCCACGUGGAUGUCAUGCCUUAUGCAGGGGAGGAGCCUGCUCUCUUCAGCUCCUGUGGUAAUGUGGGAAUUGAUCUGUGAGGAAACACUUUCUGAAAAUGUCAGAACUCUUGAAAACAUGGAUGAGGAAAAGCAUAAGUACUGCUUUAUGCUUGUCUUAUGAAUUUUAAAAGAUGUAAUUUAAAGGUACUUUAAAGUGAUAUUUGUGCCCUUGUAACUGAUUCAAAGUAGACUGCUAAGGACAAUAAGUAAUAAGAGUCUACAAAUAUCAAUAAAUUAUGAGAAAAAAACGGUCUAAUGGUACUUAAAAUUGCAUUGUGAUUUAUUAAAUAACAUAUUGAACAGC